Long non-coding RNA from Ictalurus furcatus (blue catfish), 2041 nucleotides. RefSeq lists it as uncharacterized. The transcript is spliced from 3 exons. NCBI's taxonomy places the organism in Eukaryota, Metazoa, Chordata, Actinopteri, Siluriformes, Ictaluridae. The record is from RefSeq and is a predicted model, not a curated record.
AGCAGCGCACGCACACAGAGGCGACGUUGUGUUGGGAGAACCGGGACGGCACAAACACCGCCGCUGUCCACCGUUUAUAGAAACGCUCGGGUGGGGAACACACUGGGGGAUUCAGCAGGCCGAUGGCGCAAUGCAGCCAAGAAUUUUAUUGUACAUCUGAGAGAGCUACAUUCUCAACAUUGUUCUCGCCAGUUCAAUACUUCAUCUAGCACCUUAAAGCUUUCUUUGGUUUGUCACUCUUGUAGGAACCCUUAAUAGUUCAACGUGGAACCCGACCAAAAAUGUUCUAGGAACAGCUAUAUUAGAGAAGGUUCCCCUUUAUAAGGCGAUCCACUUAAAACCUUUGAUGCGACGCAACCGUAGAGUACUAUUAACCUUAUUCAAAGGCUAAAAUCCAAGAACGAAAAGGAUCUUCACGGGUUCCUUGAUGCACUAUUAGAAACAUGGGUUAAAUAUAUAAUCUAAAAGGUUACUUCAGUUUGUCCCUUUUAAGGAACCCCGGAAGGUUUUAUUUCGAAACCUUCAGAAGGUUUCACUUUCAAAGAGAGUCUCAAGUAGAAUCAUUUCAGGAAGCAAAAAAAACUUUCUCUCCAUAGAACCUCUGAAGAAACCCCUACUCCGUACCCUGUGUGAAAGGGAAACCCGCUACGAUUUGAAAACCCUAGAGGAGUUCUAGAGUGAAACGUGUUUUUUCUAAAAGGGGUCGUUAUUAUCCUAAAGCAGUUCUACGUGGUAUUCUCUUUGAACGGGAUGCACUUUGUUGUGGGGUUCUACACGCAACCAUUAGGUCUUCCAGAGAGACAAGCUAAAGAACUAGUCAAUGAAACCUGGAGGAUCCAAUUUCCCAAAGACUCUCUAUUCGUGUACGAGUCCCUCAGUUGUCCUCGGUGUGAAAAGAUGGAUCUCAACGUCAUAUAGUCACUGUUGGAAAGGGGUCAAAUAUGCGGAAGAUGCUGGAAAAGUAAAGAACGUGCAGGACCUGGAGGAUUUGUCUGAAGAACAGUGGGCAGUUUAACUGCUCAGGACAAACAAGGGACUCGUGAACAACUCUUACAGAACAUAUAAACAGUCGCUGAUCAUCCAGAACUGAAACUCUGCACUUGCAUCCGUCUCCGCCUCCAAACCGUGACAGAACGUGACAGAGUCCACGAGGCCCUACAUGAAAGGGAAAAGCCGAGGUGGGAGAAGCAGGGAAAAUUUUCUCUAAUUCAAGCAAACCGGGAGUGGCUCGACAUGGUGUACUCCAUCAUAAGGUAUGUCAAGGAGGAGCCUUCCAACCAGGCUGGAACCAUCUCCCACCCUCGCUCACUGCGGAUUUCGUCCAGCCUGCCGGGUCGACGGAAAACUUAGUUCAGCUUCCCUGCUCAUCUGAGGACGCCGCUCAACAUCCCAGUUCAGCUGAAGACAUUGCUCCGCCACCCGGGGCAGCCAAGAGCUCCUCUAUACUUCCCUGCUCUGCUGAGGACGUCGCUCCUCCCUCUGGCUUCGUGGAGGACGUCGCUCCUCCCUCUGGCUUCGUGGAGGACGUCGCUACUCCCUCUGGCUUCGUGGAGGACGUCGCUCCUCCCUCUGGCUUCGUGGAGGACGUCGCUCCUCCCUCUGGCCUCACUGAGAACUUCCCUCUUCCCUCUGUUCUCGCAGAGAGCGUCGCUUCCCCCUUGGGGUCUCUCCACGCCCAAGCCAGUCUGGGGAUAGUGUAUCAUCUCUCUGCAGUACGGAAGAGACCAUCCCAUGUCCGUACCCCAGUGAACACGCCAAGUGUCCUCUUUAUGGUCCUGUGAGAGAUGACAUUCAAGGGAACUUUGAAACACUUGGGGACCUCUGGUCUGGGUAUCCAGGACCCCCUCCCAGACUUAGUACGCGCACUGGGAGCUGCGCGUUAAGGUGGAGGGGGGGGGGGUUCUGUCAUGGAUAAUCCAAAAGGGACUUUGUCUUUGUCUUCGUUAAGGUUUUAUUCUUGCCUUAGUGUUUUGCUUACUCUUCAUAGUUCUUGUUUUGUGCUUUGUUUUUGGUAUUCAUUAAAACUGAAAAUCUGCACUUG